ACAGCAGUCGCCGCGGGAAAACGUAGGUGGCAAGCGUUGUCCGGAAUUAUUGGGCGUAAAGCGCGCGCAGGCGGAUAGGUCAGUCUGUCUUAAAAGUUCGGGGCUUAAUCCCGUGAUGGGAUGGAAACUGCCAAUCUAGAGUAUCGGAGAGGAAAGUGGAAUCCCUAGUGUAGCGGUGAAAUGCGUAGAUAUUAGGAAGAACACCAGUGGCGAAGGCGACUUUCUGGACGAAAACUGACGCUGAGGCGCGAAAGCCAGGGGAGCGAACGGGAUUAGAUACCCCUGUAGUCCCUGUCUCUUAUACA
RNAcentral lists this ribosomal RNA (305 nucleotides) under uncultured bacterium. Its description in RNAcentral is "partial 16S ribosomal RNA". It matches the Rfam family "Bacterial small subunit ribosomal RNA", at positions 508 to 809 of the family's 1533-position model. The record is from RNAcentral.